AGGUAUAAAUAGUAUAUAUAUAAAGUAGUAUGAAAGAAUGUUUUCAAAAAUCUUAACAUGCAACGUGUAACUGGCAACACAGCAGUGUUGUUCAUGCUUAACCGUGGAAUGAAAUCAGAUCAUUUUAUAAAGUAUUGACAGGCUCUACUUGACCUUCCUGCAAUGUUGUUAAAAGAACCUCUAACUACAAGCCAACAUAAAGUAUUUUUUUUAAGCAGUAUGUUCAAAGAAGAACUCGCCUUCCACUUUACCCACACUUUUGAUAAAUUAUACUUCAUAAUUUCUUUAAACUAUUUUAGAAAAUUGUUUUA
Molecule: long non-coding RNA, 311 nt
Organism: Hydra vulgaris (swiftwater hydra)
Lineage: Eukaryota; Metazoa; Cnidaria; Hydrozoa; Anthoathecata; Hydridae
Source: RefSeq, a predicted model, not a curated record